UUUCCUCUUGCCUGUGCAUCGGCCACACUGUGUCCAGGGUUUCCAGGGAGCAGGGGAUCCAGUCCCUACCCACCUUGUCCCCAGAAUCGGAAGCACGGUGCUCUCACAGUGCUCUUACAAAGCACCUUUUGUCACUGUGUUGCCCUGCGUUAUGACAGCCUGACAUUUUCCUAUAAUUUAUCUGUGUUAUUUCAGCCAAACUGAAAUCGGUAAAGGAGGUUUUACACUUUUCUGGACCAGAUUUGAAGAGACUGACCAACCUCUCCAGCCCCGAGGUCUGGCACUUGCUGAGAACAGCCUCUUUACACCUGCGGGGAAGCAGCAUCCUUACAGGUAGGUGGGUCCUGGCAUCUCUGCCAGGGGUGACAUGUGGCUCCAGCAUCAUGGUCCCAGUGGUGCAGGGCGGGGGCUGUGCAGACUCCACCCAGGGACCAGCCUCAGGGCGUGUGGCAGCUGCUCCAGCCCCAGAGUUCCCACUUGCUUGUCCUACACCCAUGGGGCUGUGGUCACAGCAUCGGGUCAGAAGAUGCGUGAGGUGGACACAGAGGGGCUGUGGGGCCUCCUGGGACCUUGCUCCAUGGGCCAGAGGAGGGAGUGCAGGAAGCAGGGAUGGAUUUGGCAGUCAGCUCCCAGAGCCCUUCAGGCUCUGGCAGGGCGGGAACGGUGUGAGAUGGGGCCCUGGCUGCAGUCCCACCACCACGUGUGGGAAACCAGGUCUCGGCAGGGGAGGGAGGUACCCAGGGAACCCCAUGCGCCUGGACGGACAAGGUUUCCAUCCCUUCAUCUGAGCAGGCCCUACUGGGCAGUGGGGUCCUGGCAGGAGCAGGGUCCUCCCUCCGCUGCAGGUGGCCCGGGCCCCGAGGAACACGCUGAACUUGGGGCUGCCACGGUGGGCAGGUGCCACGGCCGCACACACGGUGCUGUGGGCAGGGCUCUGGGCAGACCUCACAGUCAGGGUGGCCUGCUCCACCUGGACGGAUGCCCAAGGCAGUGUGCAGACUCCAAGGGAGGGGCUGCUUCUCCUGGCCCAGGCCCCAGGCCCCAGGCCCCAGGCCAAGAGCGCAGCCUGCACCGUGUGUCCCACCUUGAGCCUCGCCCUGAGGGGCUUCAGUGUCGUGGAGGAGGCUGUGUCGAAUGGCUCAUCCAAGGCCCUCUAGCCAAGAGGCUGUGACCAGCAUUGCUCUAGAAUGGUAUCUGUCACAGAGAACUGACGGCAUGAGGUGUGCACGUGUGUGCGCAUGCGGGAGCCUGUUAAAGCCGCUUGAGAACUGUUCAGCACCCCAGGGCAUCCCAGCUGGACAGAGCUGUGCCUUUUUCUUCACAUGGAGGCUGUUAGGGAGCGCCUCGGGGCUCUCUGGAAGCUUUGGCUGAAGGCGUCUGGUGCUGCAGUUGCCCCAUAGGGGGAUCCCUGGGGGCAUGUGAUGGUGGCCCUGGGGCUCCCCCUGACUCUGCAUCUCAGGUGCACCCGCCCUUCCCAGCCAGGCCACCCCUCCCUGCCCUCAGCACCUUGUUCACCCCUUGUGACCGCAGGCACCUGUGCUCCAGCCACACUGCACCUGGCACAGGCAGGCUGGCCGUGCCUCCCGCAGUACCCAGCCCUGUCCGCAGGCCCAGGAGAGUCAGGCCUGACACCAUCCCUGCCCUUUAGCACUGCAGCUGCACCAGCAGAAGGAGAGGUUCCCCGCGCAGCACCAGCGCCUGAGCCUCGGCUGCCCGGUACUGGACGCGCUCCUCCGCGGUGGCCUGCCCCUGGAUGGCAUCACUGAGCUGGCCGGACGCAGCUCGGCAGGGAAGACCCAGCUGGCGCUGCAGCUCUGCCUGGCUGUGCAGUUCCCGCGGCAGCACGGAGGCCUGGAGGCUGGAGCCGUCUACAUCUGCACGGAAGACGCCUUCCCGCACAAGCGCCUGCAGCAGCUCAUGGCCCAGCAGCCGCGGCUGCGCACUGACGUUCCAGGAGAGCUGCUUCAGAAGCUCCGAUUUGGCAGCCAGAUCUUCAUCGAGCACGUGGCCGAUGUGGACACCUUGUUGGAGUGUGUGAAUAAGAAGGUCCCCGUACUGCUGUCUCGGGGCAUGGCUCGCCUGGUGGUCAUCGACUCGGUGGCAGCCCCAUUCCGCUGUGAAUUUGACAGCCAGGCCUCCGCCCCCAGGGCCAGGCGUCUGCAGUCCCUGGGGGCCGCGCUGCGUGAGCUGAGCAGUGCCUUCCAGAGCCCCGUGCUGUGCAUCAACCAGGUGACAGAGGCCGUGGAGGAGCAGGGCGCAGCACACGGGCCGCUGGGGUUCUGGGACGAGCGUGUUUCCCCAGCCCUUGGCAUAACCUGGGCUAACCAGCUCCUGGUGAGACUGCUGGCUGACCGGCUCCGCGAGGAAGAGGCGGCCCUCGGCUGCCCAGCCCGGACCCUGCGGGUGCUCUCUGCCCCCCACCUGGCCCCCUCCUCCUGUUCCUACACGAUCAGUGCAGAAGGGGUGCGAGGGACACCUGGGACCCAGUCCCACUGACGCGGUGGCAGCUGCACAACAGCCCUGCCUGAGAAGCCCCGACACAUGGGGCUCGAGCCUUUAAAACGCGUCUGCCUGGGCCGUGGCACAGCUGGGAGCCUGGUUGAGACACAGCUGGGAGCCUGGUUCAGACACAGCUCUUCCAGGGCAGCGGCUGCACUUUCUCAUCCGAACAUGGUGGUCACAGACUGACCCCCACCUGAGCUGGGGGGCUGUUCCGCCUCUCCCUGGGUCUGGGGACAGGCCCGCUUGCUGGGUACCUGGUCCCCACUGCUGAGCUGGUCCUUGGGGACAGGUGAUUCUCAGGGCUGGAGCCUGGGGUGUCCUACAGUGACUCCCUGGGAGCCGCCUGCUUCUUCUCCGCAUGGAAGCCCACCUGGGGUCGCGUCUGAGGCCUGCCCCCUGGGCUGGGGCCUCAGACCCUCAGCCUUGGGACCGUGCCCACGAGGGUCUCCCCUCCUGCACACAGGGCAGUCCUUACUCCCCCCACCACUCGGGCCACAGCGGGGCUGCAGGCAGGCGGCUCCUCCUCACCCACCUCUGGGUCCUUGGCUCCCGGGGUCCCCACCUCGGCACACACUGUGCCCCACAAAACUUCAGUGUGGUACAAGGUGGAGAAAGCAUAUCCCACCGACCUCCAGUGUCAGGGUCCAGGAGAGCCUGGGGUUGGGGGGGGCUGCCUUGUCUCUAGUAGUGUGGCCUGUGCCAGCACCACAGCCAUUCUGAGGAGCGCAGGCAGCGCAGGGCUGGCAGGUGACAGGCUCGUCAGCCACCUGGGAACACAGUUCUGGGCAAAGAGGAUCCGAGGUUGAGAGGAAGGAGGGUCCCGGUGUAUCCUGGCCCUGGGGGUCUGGGCGUCCAGCUCAGCCCUGGCCUGGCGGGGUGGCACUCUGGUAGGGAUAUGGCAGGACUCCUGGCAGGGCCACCUGCAGACCCAGUCCCACACUGUGGCCAGGCCUUACAUCUAGCCGGAAAGCAGAGCCUCCCGGGAACACAUCUGGCUGCAGAUGCUGAAAUAUCCACCCGGCAGGCAGAGCAGCGUGGCCUCCCCAUGGGCACAGUGGUGACCCCCUUGAUUCCCACCGUACAACCCCCUCCACCCCCCAACCCAGUUGCCUCCACGUGCUGCCUGGCACAGACCAGGCCUCUGACAAAUAAAUGUUCAAUGGAUGC
Molecule: small RNA, 3669 nt
Filed under: Pongo abelii (Sumatran orangutan)
Lineage: Eukaryota; Metazoa; Chordata; Mammalia; Primates; Hominidae
Description: retained intron
Source: RNAcentral